This is a long non-coding RNA of Homo sapiens (human), 2555 nucleotides long. Ensembl annotates it as ARHGEF26 antisense RNA 1. Its record names the gene ARHGEF26-AS1. The record is from Ensembl. Lineage: Eukaryota; Metazoa; Chordata; Mammalia; Primates; Hominidae.
GGCCCCGCCCAGAUCCGCCUCCAUCGCAGCCAGAAGCAAGAAGCUGUCUUCCCGCCCCCGCGUGCCUACAAUCAGCCCCAGUCUCCCUGGGAAACCGACGAGCGCACCUGAGCUGGGUUCUGAGCUCCAGCGUUUUGGGGCUAGAAGUUGCGGACUAGUAGCUGAGGCGGCACGGGAGUGUAGGCGCGCGGGGUCGUUGCCGGGGGCACAGAGUGAGAACAAGCAAGGGAGCCCUGCUGAAUUGCAGCUUAGGAAGCCCUGAAUCCUGGAGUGAAGGCAGUGAGGGGCUGUGGUGUGAUCCAGGAGGCUGAGAAUUAUGCAGUGGGUGCUGUCACCUUGAAGACAUCAGCGUGAUCAGGCAGAUCAUCAUGGUACUGCAUUUCCUGGACACGAUCUUAAUUUUCUUAAUACCUCCACCGACAUUUCAAAUAGCGUCUCUAAUGCCCCAGAGACUUUUAUGCCCCUAAGGUAGUUUUCUUUCUUUUGUGAAGCAGAAGAAGGGAAAUUGUUAAAGGGAAUAUUUUAACUAAAUUUAUUUCCAUAAAACUAUCUUUGUCUUUAUAUCUCAUGGAAAGUGUUAGGUAGCCUCAGGAUUAUAUCUCCGUUGGAAAACUGUAGAUGUAAACCUUCUUGCUAUCUACAUACUUACAUAUUUUUCUGUUGUUAUUUACUUAUGAAUAGCAUUUUGAUUAUAGCAGAAAUAAAAUACAUUAAAUGACUAAGCUCAGAAAUAAGAAAAAAAGGUCAAUGGUGAUCAUUUAUUUGGAAACUAUGAUAUUUUAAUGAUAUUAAUGGUGUAAUUGACAUUUAGUUAAACAUAUUUCAUCGUAAGUAGAGCACUUUAACUCUUACGGUCCACUUAAAAUGUAAUCAUACGUUUAUGUAUUUCUAGUUAAUGUAUCAAACUCAACUGAGUAAUCAAUGUACAUCAUUUAUUUUGCUCCUAAGUUAAUACACUAAGUUAUGCUUUAAAAUUACUAAUUUGCUGCAAUAUCCAAUACUCUCUUUUAAGUCUUACGUCUGCAGAAAAGGAUAUAAACAUUUCAUGACACCAAACCCAAGUAUUUUUGAUGCCCUUGGCAGUGUCAGUUGAACAGACAGUGUCAUUUAAUGUUUGAGACAGCAUCUGAAUUCCUUUUAUUCUUAAAAUUCUAUUUUAAAAUGCAGUUUUUGGAAAGUUAAUGUGAAUAGAAAAAUUUCUAACAUUUUAUGUGCAUGUGUUUUGUUUGUUACAGGCUUAGCAUCUCAAAUCUGAAAAUUCGAAAUCUGAAAUGUUUCUAAAAUUCAACUCUUUUGAGUGCUGAUAUGACUUUCAAAGGAAAAGCUCAUUGGAGCAUUUCAGAUUUUGGAUUUUUGGAUUUGGGAUGUUUAACCAGGGUAAAAUAUAGAAUGCAAAUAUUCCAAAAUCUGAAUAAAAUUGAAAUCUGAAAUGCUUAUGGUUCCAAGCAUUUUGGAUAAGGGAUAAUUAAGCUGUAUAACUUAUAAAACUGAAUAUAACAAAAUUUCCCAACAUGUGGAAAAUGAUGUCUUUUUUCAAAAAUGUCAAUAGCAGAUACAUGGUACAGUAAGUUAGGGGAAAAAAUGAGGUUUCAUAUCUUCUAGUUUCCUAAUUAAAAGGAGCCCAUUCUGGGUUGGAAGAAAGUGUCAGUAAGAUCAUUUCUCCUAUUUGAAAAUCAUACAAAGCUUGUCAGAGUGACUCAGGCCAGGAGUGUAGCUGGGCGUGUAGCUAAAUGAUAUCUCCCCACAUCUAUAUAAUAAGCUGUUACCUGCUUUAAAAGGAAAAGCUCUCAGCAUGACUCUAAUGUUGCAUUUCUGGAAUACAGCUUGAAAAGCUCUUCUCAGGGUUGAACAGAGCAUGAAGGUAAUGGUUAUUAUCUACUCACAUUAAAAAAAAAAAAAAAGAAAGAAACCACCACAGAAAACUACUUACUGUCUUUAGGCUCUACUUUCAAAAGUGCCCUUUAUGAACGCUUUUACACUGUUGAUGGGAGUGUAAAUUAGUUCAACCAUUGUGGAAGACAGUGUGGUGAUUCCUCAAGGAUCUAGAAUCAGAAAUACCAUUUGACCCAGCAAUCCCAUUACUGGGUAUAUACCCAAAGGAUUAUAAAUCAUUCUAUUAUAAAGACACAUGCACACGUAUGUUUAUUGCAGCACUGUUCACAAUAGCAAAGACUUGGAACCAACCCAAAUGCCCAUCAAUGAUAGACUGGAUAAAGAAAUUGUGGCACAUACACACCAUGGAAUACUAUGCAGCCAUAAUAAAAGAUGAGUUCAUGUCCUUUGCAAGGACAUGGACAAAGCUGGAAACCAUCAUUCUCAGCAAACAAGAACAGAAAAUCAAACACUGCAUGUUCUCAGUCUAAGUGGGAGCUGAACAAUGAGAAAACAUGGACACAGAGAGGGGAACAUCACACACUGGGCCUGUUGGGGGGUAGGGGGCUAGGGGAGGGAUAGCAUUAGGAGAAAUACCUAAUGUAAAUGACAGGUUAAUGGGUGCAGCAAACCACCAUGGCAUGUGUAUACCUAUGUAACAAACCUGCAUGUUCUGCACAUGU